GCUCGAACUACUCCUUCGCCGGGGCGCC
This 28-nucleotide small RNA is filed under the name Bombyx mori (domestic silkworm). Its description in RNAcentral is "ovarian small RNA-17076". The record is from RNAcentral. Lineage: Eukaryota; Metazoa; Arthropoda; Insecta; Lepidoptera; Bombycidae.